This 174-nucleotide ribosomal RNA is filed under the name uncultured Clostridium sp. Its description in RNAcentral is "partial 16S ribosomal RNA". It matches the Rfam family "Bacterial small subunit ribosomal RNA", at positions 334 to 525 of the family's 1533-position model. Lineage: Bacteria; Bacillati; Bacillota; Clostridia; Eubacteriales; Clostridiaceae. The record is from RNAcentral.
UACUCCUACGGGAGGCAGCAGUGGGGAAUAUUGCACAAUGGGCGAAAGCCUGAUGCAGCAACGCCGCGUGAGUGAUGACGGCCUUCGGGUUGUAAAGCUCUGUCUUUGGGGACGAUAAUGACGGUACCCAAGGAGGAAGCCACGACUAACUACGUGCCAGCAGCCGCGGUAAUA